AGAGUCAUAGUUACUCCUGCCAUUUGAGAGCACUGGGCAGAAAUCACACAGUCAACACCCACCACAGGGUUUCAUGAUGUUUUGUUUUAAUUAAACAGUCAGAUUCUCCUGGUCUGCACCAGUUCUAAGUCAGCUGCUAGGUGCUAGCUGAGGAGGGACGCUGGCCCCAG
This is a long non-coding RNA of Dermochelys coriacea (leatherback sea turtle), 170 nucleotides long. RefSeq lists it as uncharacterized. The transcript is spliced from 3 exons. NCBI's taxonomy places the organism in Eukaryota, Metazoa, Chordata, Testudines, Dermochelyidae. The record is from RefSeq and is a predicted model, not a curated record.